RNAcentral lists this ribosomal RNA (497 nucleotides) under uncultured bacterium. Its description in RNAcentral is "partial 16S ribosomal RNA". It matches the Rfam family "Bacterial small subunit ribosomal RNA", at positions 28 to 507 of the family's 1533-position model. The record is from RNAcentral.
GAUGAACGCUGGCGGCGUGCCUAAUACAUGCAAGUCGAGCGAACAGAUAAGGAGCUUGCUCCUUUGACGUUAGCGGCGGACGGGUGAGUAACACGUGGGUAACCUACCUAUAAGACUGGAAUAACUCCGGGAAACCGGGGCUAAUGCCGGAUAACAUUUAGAACCGCAUGGUUCUAAAGUGAAAGAUGGUUUUGCUAUCACUUAUAGAUGGACCCGCGCCGUAUUAGCUAGUUAGUAAGGUAACGGCUUACCAAGGCAACGAGUCGUAGCCGGCCUGAGAGGAUGAUGAGCCACACUGGAACUGAGACGCGGUCCAUGAUCAUACGGGAGCCAGCAGUAGGGAAUCUACCGCAAUGGGCGAAAGCCGGACGGAGCAACGCCGCGUGAGUGAUGAAGGUCUUCGGAUCGUAAAACGCUGUUAUUAGGGAAGAACAAAUGUGUAAGUAACUGUGCACGUCUUGACGGUACCUAAUCAGAAAGCCACGGCUAACUACGUG